ACAUCGGUAGCACAGUGGUUAGUGCAGUCUGCCGGAAACAGAAAGACAUGGGUUCGAUAUCCGUCCGAUGUC
This 72-nucleotide transfer RNA is filed under the name Nippostrongylus brasiliensis. It matches the Rfam family "tRNA". From Rfam's summary of the family: Transfer RNA (tRNA) molecules are approximately 80 nucleotides in length. Their secondary structure includes four short double-helical elements and three loops (D, anti-codon, and T loops). Lineage: Eukaryota; Metazoa; Nematoda; Chromadorea; Rhabditida; Heligmosomidae. The record is from Rfam by way of RNAcentral.